RNAcentral lists this transfer RNA (74 nucleotides) under Staphylococcus aureus. Its description in RNAcentral is "tRNA-Met". The record is from RNAcentral. Lineage: Bacteria; Bacillati; Bacillota; Bacilli; Caryophanales; Staphylococcaceae.
CGCGGGAUGGAGCAGUUCGGUAGCUCGUCGGGCUCAUAACCCGAAGGUUCUGUGUUGGGGCCCCUGACUAGAAU